This 20-nucleotide microRNA is filed under the name Ananas comosus (pineapple). Its description in RNAcentral is "microRNA s1441_c075b". Lineage: Eukaryota; Viridiplantae; Streptophyta; Magnoliopsida; Poales; Bromeliaceae. The record is from RNAcentral.
AACGCGGAAAGUGGGAUUCA